AAAGAGCGUGUAGGCGGGUAGUUAAGUCAGAAGUGAAAUCCAAUAGCUCAACUAUUGAACUGCUUUUGAAACUGAUUACCUAGAAUAUGGGAGAGGUAGAUGGAAUUUCUGGUGUAGGGGUAAAAUCCGUAGAGAUCAGAAGGAAUACCGAUUGCGAAGGCGAUCUACUGGAACAUUAUUGACGCUGAGACGCGAAAGCGUGGGGAGCAAACAGGAUUAGAUACCCUGGUAGUCCACGCCCUAAACGAUGUACACUAGUUGUUGUGAGGCUCGACCUUGCAGUAAUGCAGUUAACACAUUAAGUGUACCGCCUGGGGAGUACGGUCGCAAGAUUAAAACUCAAAGGAAUAGACGGGGACCCGCACAAGCGGUGGAGCAUGUGGUUUAAUUCGACGAUACACGAAGAACCUUACCUGGACUUGACAUAGUAAGAACUUUCUAGAGAUAGAUUGGUGUCUGCUUGCAGAAACUUAUAUACAGGUGCUGCACGGCUGUCGUCAGCUCGUGUCGUGAGAUGUUGGGUUAAGUCCCGCAACGAGCGCGACCCUCGUCAUUAGUUGCUAACAGUUCGGCUGAGAACUCUAAUGAGACUGCCUACGCAAGUAGGAGGAAGGUGAGGACGACGUCAAGUCAUCAUGGCCCUUACGUCCAGGGCUACACACGUGCUACAAUGGGGUAUACAAAGAGCCGCAAUACGGUGACGUGGAGCAAAUCUCAAAAAUAUCUCCCAGUUCGGAUUGUAGUCUGCAACUCGACUACAUGAAGUUGGAAUCGCUAGUAAUCGUAGAUCAGCUAUGCUAC
This 801-nucleotide ribosomal RNA is filed under the name uncultured Arcobacter sp. RNAcentral describes it as "bacterial SSU rRNA". It matches the Rfam family "Bacterial small subunit ribosomal RNA", at positions 562 to 1360 of the family's 1533-position model. The record is from RNAcentral. Lineage: Bacteria; Pseudomonadati; Campylobacterota; Epsilonproteobacteria; Campylobacterales; Arcobacteraceae.